RNAcentral lists this ribosomal RNA (423 nucleotides) under uncultured bacterium. RNAcentral describes it as "bacterial SSU rRNA". It matches the Rfam family "Bacterial small subunit ribosomal RNA", at positions 358 to 773 of the family's 1533-position model. The record is from RNAcentral.
GGAAUAUUGCACAAUGGGGGGAACCCUGAUGCAGCCAUGCCGCGUGAAUGAAGAAGGCCUUCGGGUUGUAAAGUUCUUUCGGUGACGAGGAAGGUUGAUAGGUUAAUAGUCUAUCAACUUGACGUUAAUCACAGCAGAAGCACCGGCUAACUCCGUGCCAGCAGCCGCGGUAAUACGGGGGGUGCGAGCGUUAAUCGGACUAACUGGGCGUAAAGGGCACGCAGGCGGUGACUUAAGUGAGAUGUGAAAGCCCCGAGCUUAACUUGGGAAUUGCAUUUCAUACUGGGUCGCUAGAGUACUUUAGGGAGGGGUAGAAUUCCACGUGUAGCGGUGAAAUGCGUAGAGAUGUGGAGGAAUACCGAAGGCGAAGGCAGCCCCUUGGGAAUGUACUGACGCUCAUGUGCGAAAGCGUGGGGAGCAAAC